UAAGUAUAAGCAAUUAUACCGUGAAACUGCGAAUGGCUCAUUAAAUCAGUUAUCGUUUAUUUGAUAAUACCUUACUACUUGGAUAACCGUGGUAAUUCUAGAGCUAAUACAUGCUGAAAAUCCCGACUUCGGAAGGGAUGUGUUUAUUAGAUAAAAAACCAAUGCCCUUCGGGGCUUUUUGGUGAUUCAUGAUAACUUUACGGAUCGCAUAGCCUUGCGCUGGCGACGGUUCAUUCAAAUUUCUGCCCUAUCAACUUUCGAUGGUAAGGUAUUGGCUUACCAUGGUUUCAACGGGUAACGGGGAAUUAGGGUUCGAUUCCGGAGAGGGAGCCUGAGAAACGGCUACCACAUCCAAGGAAGGCAGCAGGCGCGCAAAUUACCCAAUCCCGACACGGGGAGGUAGUGACAAUAAAUACUGAUACAGGGCUCUUUUGGGUCUUGUAAUUGGAAUGAGUACAAUUUAAACCUCUUAACGAGGAACAAUUGGAGGGCAAGUCUGGUGCCAGCAGCCGCGGUAAUUCCAGCUCCAAUAGCGUAUAUUAAAGUUGUUGCAGUUAAAAAGCUCGUAGUUGAAACUUGGGCCUGGCUGGCGGGUCCGCCUCACCGCGUGCACUCGUCCGGCCGGGCCUUCCUUCUGAAGAACCUCAUGCCCUUCACUGGGCGUGCUGGGGAAUCAGGACUUUUACUUUGAAAAAAUUAGAGUGUUCAAAGCAGGCCUUUGCUCGAAUACGUUAGCAUGGAAUAAUAAAAUAGGGCGUGCGUUUCUAUUUUGUUGGUUUCUAGAGACGCCGCAAUGAUUAACAGGAACAGUCGGGGGCAUCAGUAUUCAGUUGUCAGAGGUGAAAUUCUUGGAUUUACUGAAGACUAACUACUGCGAAAGCAUUUGCCAAGGAUGUUUUCAUUAAUCAGUGAACGAAAGUUAGGGGAUCGAAGACGAUCAGAUACCGUCGUAGUCUUAACCGUAAACUAUGCCGACUAGGGAUCGGGCGAUGUUCUUUUUCUGACUCGCUCGGCACCUUACGAGAAAUCAAAGUUU
This 1036-nucleotide ribosomal RNA is filed under the name Alternaria petroselini. RNAcentral's name for it is "SSU rRNA". It matches the Rfam family "Eukaryotic small subunit ribosomal RNA", at positions 60 to 1106 of the family's 1831-position model. The record is from RNAcentral. Lineage: Eukaryota; Fungi; Ascomycota; Dothideomycetes; Pleosporales; Pleosporaceae.